ACGUGUUUUUUUUUUCUUGGGCGAGAGUAGUACUAGGAUGGGUGACCUCCUGGGAAGUCCUCGUGUUGCACCUC
This 74-nucleotide ribosomal RNA is filed under the name Vigna angularis (adzuki bean). The record is from RNAcentral. Lineage: Eukaryota; Viridiplantae; Streptophyta; Magnoliopsida; Fabales; Fabaceae.